RNAcentral lists this ribosomal RNA (549 nucleotides) under uncultured bacterium. RNAcentral describes it as "bacterial SSU rRNA". It matches the Rfam family "Bacterial small subunit ribosomal RNA", at positions 355 to 896 of the family's 1533-position model. The record is from RNAcentral.
UGGGGAAUAUUGGACAAUGGGCGAAAGCCUGAUCCAGCCAUGCCGCGUGUGUGAAGAAGGCCUUUUGGUUGUAAAGCACUUUAAGUGGGGAGGAAAAGCUUAUGGUUAAUACCCAUAAGCCCUGACGUUACCCACAGAAUAAGCACCGGCUAACUCUGUGCCAGCAGCCGCGGUAAUACAGAGGGUGCAAGCGUUAAUCGGAAUUACUGGGCGUAAAGCGCGCGUAGGUGGUUAUUUAAGUCAGAUGUGAAAGCCCCGGGCUUAACCUGGGAACUGCAUCUGAUACUGGAUAACUAGAGUAGGUGAGAGGGGAGUAGAAUUCCAGGUGUAGCGGUGAAAUGCGUAGAGAUCUGGAGGAAUACCGAUGGCGAAGGCAGCUCUCUGGCAUCAUACUGACACUGAGGUGCGAAAGCGUGGGUAGCAAACAGGAUUAGAUACCCUGGUAGUCCACGCCGUAAACGAUGUCUACCAGUCGUUGGGUCUUUUAAAGACUUAGUGACGCAGUUAACGCAAUAAGUAGACCGCCUGGGGAGUACGGCCGCAAGGUUA